UGGGGAAUAUUGGACAAUGGGCGAAAGCCUGAUCCAGCCAUGCCGCGUGAGUGACGAAGGCCUUAGGGUUGUAAAACUCUUUCGUCGGGGACGAUAAUGACGGUACCCGAAGAAGAAGCUCCGGCUAACUUCGUGCCAGCAGCCGCGGUAAUACGAAGGGAGCUAGCGUUGUUCGGAAUCACUGGGCGUAGAGCGCACGUAGGCGGAUAGUUAAGUCAGGGGUGAAAUCCUGGGGCUCAACCCCAGAACUGCCUUUGAUACUGGCUGUCUCGAGGUCGAGAGAGGCUGGUGGAAUUCCUAGUGUAGAGGUGAAAUUCGUAGAUAUUAGGAAGGACACCAGUGGCGAAGGCGGCCAACUGGCUCGAUACUGACGCUGAGGUGCGAAAGCGUGGGGAGCAAACAGGAUUAGAUACCCAGGUAGUCCCUGAGCGGGCUGGCAAGGCGCAU
This 447-nucleotide ribosomal RNA is filed under the name uncultured bacterium. Its description in RNAcentral is "bacterial SSU rRNA". It matches the Rfam family "Bacterial small subunit ribosomal RNA", at positions 355 to 825 of the family's 1533-position model. The record is from RNAcentral.